Molecule: ribosomal RNA, 303 nt
Filed under: uncultured bacterium
Lineage: Bacteria
Description: partial 16S ribosomal RNA
Rfam family: Bacterial small subunit ribosomal RNA
Source: RNAcentral
AGCAGUAGCCGCGGUAAUACAGAGGGUGCAAGCGUUAAUCGGAUUUACUGGGCGUAAAGGGCGCGUAGGUGGUUAUGUAAGUGAGAUGUGAAAUCCCCGGGCUCAACCUGGGAACUGCAUCUUAUACUGCGUAGCUGGAGUGCAGUAGAGGGUAGUGGAAUUUCCGGUGUAGCGGUGAAAUGCGUAGAUAUCGGAAGGAACACCAGUGGCGAAGGCGGCUACCUGGACUGACACUGACACUGAGGCGCGAAAGCGUGGGGAGCAAACAGGAUUAGAUACCCGCGUAGUCCCUGUCUCUUAUAC